CCUACGGGAGGCAGCAGUGGGGAAUAUUGCACAAUGGAGGAAACCCUGAUGCAGCAACGCAGCGUGAGUGAAGAAGUAUUUCGGUGUGUAAAGCUCUAUCAGCAGGGGAGUAGAUGACGGUACGUGAAUAAGAAGCCACGGCUAACUUCGUGCCAGAAGCCGCGGGACUACGUAGGGGGCCAGCGUUAUCCGGAUGUACUGGGGGUAAAGGGAGCUGAGGGGGAAGUGCAAGUCUGUAGUGAAAGUCCGGGGCCCAACCCCGGAAUUGCACUGGAAACUGGGCGGCUAGAGUACUGGAGGGGCAGGCGGAAUUCCUGGUGUAGCGGUGAAAUGCGUAGAUAUUAGGAGGAACUCCAGUGGCGAAGGCAGCCUGCUGGACAGUAACUGACGUUGAGGCUCGAAAGCGUGGGGAGCAAACAGGAUUUGAUACCCCAGUAGUC
RNAcentral lists this ribosomal RNA (440 nucleotides) under uncultured bacterium. Its description in RNAcentral is "partial 16S ribosomal RNA". It matches the Rfam family "Bacterial small subunit ribosomal RNA", at positions 338 to 795 of the family's 1533-position model. The record is from RNAcentral.